UCCCUGGUAGUCGUAUGGCUAAGACUCCACACUUGCAAUGCAGGGGCUCAGGUUUGAUCUCUGGUCAGGGAA
RNAcentral lists this transfer RNA (72 nucleotides) under Ovis aries (sheep). It matches the Rfam family "tRNA". Rfam says of the family: Transfer RNA (tRNA) molecules are approximately 80 nucleotides in length. Lineage: Eukaryota; Metazoa; Chordata; Mammalia; Artiodactyla; Bovidae. The record is from Rfam by way of RNAcentral.